This 1170-nucleotide ribosomal RNA is filed under the name uncultured Bacteroides sp. RNAcentral describes it as "bacterial SSU rRNA". It matches the Rfam family "Bacterial small subunit ribosomal RNA", at positions 10 to 1176 of the family's 1533-position model. The record is from RNAcentral. Lineage: Bacteria; Pseudomonadati; Bacteroidota; Bacteroidia; Bacteroidales; Bacteroidaceae.
AGUUUGAUCCUGGCUCAGGAUGAACGCUAGCUACAGGCUUAACACAUGCAAGUCGAGGGGCAGCAUGAACUUAGCUUGCUAAGUUUGAUGGCGACCGGCGCACGGGUGAGUAACACGUAUCCAACCUGCCGAUGACUCGGGGAUAGCCUUUCGAAAGAAAGAUUAAUACCCGAUGGCAUAGUUCUUCCGCAUGGUGGAACUAUUAAAGAAUUUCGGUCAUCGAUGGGGAUGCGUUCCAUUAGGUUGUUGGCGGGGUAACGGCCCACCAAGCCUUCGAUGGAUAGGGGUUCUGAGAGGAAGGUCCCCCACAUUGGAACUGAGACACGGUCCAAACUCCUACGGGAGGCAGCAGUGAGGAAUAUUGGUCAAUGGACGAGAGUCUGAACCAGCCAAGUAGCGCGAAGGAUGACUGCCCUAUGGGUUGUAAACUUCUUUUAUACGGGAAUAAAGUGAGGCACGUGUGCCUUUUUGUAUGUACCGUAUGAAUAAGGAUCGGCUAACUCCGUGCCAGCAGCCGCGGUAAUACGGAGGAUCCGAGCGUUAUCCGGAUUUAUUGGGUUUAAAGGGAGCGUAGGCGGACGCUUAAGUCAGUUGUGAAAGUUUGCGGCUCAACCGUAAAAUUGCAGUUGAUACUGGGUGUCUUGAGUACAGUAGAGGCAGGCGGAAUUCGUGGUGUAGCGGUGAAAUGCUUAGAUAUCACGAAGAACUCCGAUUGCGAAGGCAGCUUGCUGGACUGUAACUGACGCUGAUGCUCGAAAGUGUGGGUAUCAAACAGGAUUAGAUACCCUGGUAGUCCACACAGUAAACGAUGAAUACUCGCUGUUUGCGAUAUACAGUAAGCGGCCAAGCGAAAGCGUUAAGUAUUCCACCUGGGGAGUACGCCGGCAACGGUGAAACUCAAAGGAAUUGACGGGGGCCCGCACAAGCGGAGGAACAUGUGGUUUAAUUCGAUGAUACGCGAGGAACCUUACCCGGGCUUGAAUUGCAACUGAAUGAUGUGGAGACAUGUCAGCCGCAAGGCAGUUGUGAAGGUGCUGCAUGGUUGUCGUCAGCUCGUGCCGUGAGGUGUCGGCUUAAGUGCCAUAACGAGCGCAACCCUUAUCGAUAGUUACCAUCAGGUUAUGCUGGGGACUCUGUCGAGACUGCCGUCGUAAGAUGUGAGGAAGGUGG